AAGUCGUAACAAGGUUUCCGUAGGUGAACCUGCGGAAGGAUCAUUCAUAAUAAGUGUUUUAUGACACUUUUUAAAUCCAUAUCCACCUUGUGUGCAAUGUUAAGAGGAACAACUAGAGAGAUCGUAAAAAAAUCUCUGUUCUUGUUCUUUUUCUAUAACAAACUCAUUUUUUUAACAUAUCGUCUGAAAACUAUUAUGAAUACUUAAUUCAAAAUACAACUUUCAACAACGGAUCUCUUGGCUCUC
This 246-nucleotide unclassified non-coding RNA is filed under the name Mortierella sp. RNAcentral describes it as "partial internal transcribed spacer region". The stretch from base 1 to 46 matches the Rfam family "Eukaryotic small subunit ribosomal RNA", at positions 1786 to 1831 of the family's 1831-position model. The record is from RNAcentral. Lineage: Eukaryota; Fungi; Mortierellomycota; Mortierellomycetes; Mortierellales; Mortierellaceae.